GUCUGAUCCGGCUCAGAUUGAACGCUACAGUGGGAUGCUUCUUGCACAUGCAAGUCGAACGGCAGCACGGACUUCGGUCUGGUGGCGAGAUAUGAACGGGUGAGUAAUGUAUCGGAACGUGCCUAGUAGCGGGGGAUAACUACGCGAAAGUAAAUAAUGAUACCGCAGCCUCGGGGAAAAGCGGGGGACCCUCGGCCUUCGCACUAUUAGAGCGCCGAUAUCGGACAGAAUAGUUGGUGUAAACGGCUCACCACAAGACGAUCCGUAGCUGGUUUGAGAGGACGACCAGCCACACUGGGACUGAGACACGGCCCAGACUCCUACGGGAGGCAGCAGUGGGAAUUUUGGACACUGGGGGAAACUUAUCCAGCCAUCCCGCGUGUGCGAUGAAGGCCGUGGGUUGUAAAGCACUUUUGGCAGGAAGAAACGGCACGGGAUAAUACCCUGUGCAACUGACGGUACCUGUGAGAAUAAGCACCGGCUAACUACGUGUCAGCAGCCGUGUGGUAAUACGUAGGUGCUGUUAAUCGGAAUUACUUGGGCGAAGCGUGCGCAGUGUCUGAGAAAGAUGAAACCAGAGCUUAAUUGGAACUACUUAACUUUACUGAGCUGAGUGCUAAGAGGGAGUGUGGAAUUCCGCGUAGCAGGAAAUGCGUAGAUAUGGAGGAACACCGAUGGCAAAGGCAGCCCGGGAUAACACUGACGCUCAUGCACGAAAGCGUGGAGCAAACAGGAUUAGAUACUCCAGAAGUCCACGCCCCAAACGAUGUCAACUAGCUGUUAGCCUUCGGGCCUGGUAGCGCAGCUAACGCGUGAAGCUGACCGCCUGGGUACGGUCGCAGACAAACUCAAAGCAACUGACGGGACCCGCAACAAGCGGUGAUGAGGAUUAAUUCGAUGCAACGCGAAAACCUUACCUACUCCUUUUGAUGGCAGCCCGGGAAUCCGAAGGUAUUUUGGGAGUGCUCGCAAGAGAACCGGAACACAGGUGCGCUACGAAGGCACGUCAGCUCGUGUCGAGAUGUUGCUGUCCAACGAGCAACCCUGGUCAUUAUUGCUACGCAGCGCACUUAAUGAGACUGCCGGUGACAAACCGGAGAAAGGUGGAUGCGACGUCAAGUCCUCAUGGCCUUUAUGGGUAGGGCUUCGCACGUCAUACAAUGGUCGGGACAGAGGCCGCUAACCGGCGAGGGGGAGCCAAUCCCAGAAACCUGAUCAGUCCGGACCAGUCUGCAACCCUGAUCGCGGAAGCUGAAAUCGCCAGUAAUCAGGAUCAGCAUGUCAGUGUGAAUACGUUCCGGGUCUGUAAUACUCACCAGCCGCGUCAGCGGGAGCGGGUUUCAACGCAGAAGUAGUUAGCUUCAAUCCGUAAGGAGGGCGAUUACCACGGUAGGAUUCAUGACUGGGUGCAGUCGCAAUUAUGUGAA
Molecule: ribosomal RNA, 1427 nt
Filed under: uncultured Bordetella sp.
Lineage: Bacteria; Pseudomonadati; Pseudomonadota; Betaproteobacteria; Burkholderiales; Alcaligenaceae
Description: partial 16S-23S ribosomal RNA intergenic spacer
Rfam family: Bacterial small subunit ribosomal RNA
Source: RNAcentral